CCUACGGGUGGCAGCAGUGGGGAAUAUUGGACAAUGGGGGGAACCCUGAUCCAGCCAUGCCGCGUGUGUGAAGAAGGCCCUCGGGUUGUAAAGCACUUUCAGUGAGGAAGAACGCCUGGUGGUUAAUACCCAUCAGGAAAGACAUCACUCACAGAAGAAGCACCGGCUAACUCCGUGCCAGCAGCCGCGGUAAUACGGAGGGUGCGAGCGUUAAUCGGAAUUACUGGGCGUAAAGCGCGCGUAGGUGGCUUGAUAAGCCGGUUGUGAAAGCCCCGGGCUCAACCUGGGAACGGCAUCCGGGACUGUCAAGAUAGGGGGCAGGGGAGGAAGGUAGAGUCCCCGGGGAGGCGGUGAAUGGCGUAAAGAUCGGGAGGAAUACCAGUGGCGAAGGCGGCCUUCUGGACUAACACUGACACUGAGGUGCGAAAGCGUGGGUAGCAAACAGGAUAAGAUACCCCAGUAGUC
This 465-nucleotide ribosomal RNA is filed under the name Vreelandella stevensii. RNAcentral describes it as "partial 16S ribosomal RNA". It matches the Rfam family "Bacterial small subunit ribosomal RNA", at positions 338 to 795 of the family's 1533-position model. The record is from RNAcentral. Lineage: Bacteria; Pseudomonadati; Pseudomonadota; Gammaproteobacteria; Oceanospirillales; Halomonadaceae.